Molecule: long non-coding RNA, 792 nt
Filed under: Cricetulus griseus (Chinese hamster)
Lineage: Eukaryota; Metazoa; Chordata; Mammalia; Rodentia; Cricetidae
Description: lncRNA (ENSCGRG00015035094.1)
Source: RNAcentral
GACCACUGCCACGCCGGCUGGCUAGGUCGCUCUCCUCUGAUCCAGAAACAUGAGUUGGAAUCACAAUAAAUUCUGGUUCCAAGUGUGACAUCAUAAAAAUUUAUCAACUUCUACAUGAUUUGAAAGACAAGAAACAGACCAAAGAGAAGGCUGAGAAUUGAACCUGCGACAUUGCACAUGAAGAGGGAUAGAAUUACUCUUUAAUGAAGAUAUUGUUGAGACAAGCUAUGGAGGAUUGGUACCCGGGUACUGCACAGACACUGGGAUAAUUCUGGAACUAGAGAAAGAGCAGCAACUUCAUCAGUAGAUAUGUGUAUACAGACAGAACAGAACAUUUAAAACAACAAGAUAAAGAACUGAAUAAAUCAACGGCUCUGAUAAGAUGAUUCACUCCAAAUUGAUUUUUCAGCAACAAGCCCUGAUGUGGACAAAUACUCUCAAACUCUAGCCUUUCUUGAAUUCAUGUGGGUCUCAGGGUCCCUUUGAGACUGGGUGGGUUAAGCAAUUGGUGCUAUGAAUUCCAUUCAGAGGUUAACAUUAAAGGGGCUGAUUUCAGAACAUUCCAAUGGAAGUGUUCAUCUAGAGACACAUACUUUAAACAUACUCAUGUUAAAGAUACAUGACCCCCAAUAUAUAGUAAAUAAUUUAUAUAUUUAAAAUACAUUUUGAGAAUCUUUAAGCUUGAGUUUGCUUACACGGUUUGUAGACAUAUUAGUAUAUAAGAUACAUUAAGUAUCCAUAUAAGAAACUGAUCUCAGUAGAUAGUUGCCAAUCUACUAUUUUCAAAAUCUU